UGUGUUACGACAGUGAUGUGUGUUGCCGUAAAGCGUUUUUCCCGCGAUGUGGAGCGUUGAUGACGCAGCGCAGUUCACGUGGUUCCACCUUGAGCCCUCCUUCCAUGUCCGUGCGUCCUUGGACAUAACAGGAAUUUCAUGUUGGGAAGGUGCUGGAGCCUAUCCCAGCUGCAUGUGGGCGGAAGGCGGUGUACACCCUGGACAAGUCUCCACCUCAUCGCACCGCAGACACCGAUACACAACCCCCAAUAUACUAAUUGCUUGUAUUUCGUCACGUGAGUUCGUCUUGAACAUGUUGAAAGUAGACCAGACGUCAUCUGCUGCUUGAUAAAGUACCUUGGGGAGCCAACUACUGAAUGAAAGAACACUUACCAGGAUGUCAUCACUGAAUCGCUCCAAGAAGAAUAUUCUGCAUUCAGUGGCAGGACAUCAGCCAUUAGCCUUCACUCUGCUACUUGGAGACAUCACAAUAGUGGACACAGCGGGCCAGGAACGGUUCCACACCAUCACCACUUCCUACUACAGAGGCGCCAUGGGCAUCAUGCUGGUCUAUGACAUCACCAACGCCGAAAUCUUUGAAAACAUCAGCAAGUGGCUGCGCAACAUUGGUGAACAUGCGAACGACGGAGGUUGAGAGAAUGCUACUAGGCAACAAGUGUGACAUGGAAGAUAAGAGGGUUGUACCAAAAGCCAAGGGAGAGCAGAUUGCGAGAGAGCACGGCAUUAGGUUUUUCGAGACAAGCGCCAAAGCUAACAUCAACAUCGAGAACGCUUUCCUCACAUUAGCAGAAGACAUCCUCAAAAAGACGCCUGUAAAAGAGCCCAGCAGCAAAAAUGUGGACAUUAGAGGCGGGGGCGGAGUCACAGGCUGAAAGAGCAAGUGCUGCAGUUGAACGACUGGCAGCGACACACACAUACAGAGAAAAACACACGUGCACACACAAACAUCUCCCCUCUUUAACUGUCUGCCACCUUCUAACCGUCUCGUGACUCGUUGCACACUGACACUCUUUCUUCAUCACAAUAAAACCCCUUCAUCUUAACCCCGCCCCCCAUGUUUUUCCACUUUCCCUCAGCAGCAGUUUUAUUUUGAAGGGAAGCGCUCGUGUUUCCUGUCAUUUUUCUUUUAAGGAUUAUUAAAAAACAA
Molecule: long non-coding RNA, 1147 nt
Organism: Nerophis ophidion (straightnose pipefish)
Lineage: Eukaryota; Metazoa; Chordata; Actinopteri; Syngnathiformes; Syngnathidae
Exons: 8
Source: RefSeq, a predicted model, not a curated record